CAGCCAGGUAAAGUUAGGAAAUAGAUCCUCUUGAUCGGGUAACUAGAUAUAAAUAAAUACAUAAACGGGUAAUUCUGUGCUACCGCGCGCAAAUUCUUGUUUCUAUCCUAGGUCUCACAGAAAUACAUCCCUCCGUCAUCAAUAGCCGAGUGAAACAAGGUGGACAUCACAGGAUUUUAUAGAUUAUAUAUAUCGAACAUUCGCUAUGCAACACAGCUACAGACAAUUUAACUUAAUCUCUUUAAUUCUUUCGGAGGCAUGGGGAAAAAAUUAUCGCCAAAUCACACACACACACACACAAAUAUAUACACAUAUGGUACAUAUGAUACUAUGACAAGGAAAGGGAAUAUUAUAAUACAUUACUCAUUCAGAUCAUCAACAUAACAUAACCAUAACAUUCAAAUCCAUUCUUCCUUCUGAUAGAACCAACACGCAGAUCUCCCUGGGAGUAUUAUUCCCAUUUAUCCUUUACGUAGAUGGAAGUAAGCGUGGUCCACAUGUAAGGCGCAUAUGCUCAUAAUGAUUACCUCACCGCCACAGCUGACUUCCAAGCGCAUCAUCCAUAAAGGAAGAUUGCAAGAAAAUUUCCCAAGGCAGAGGUGGUUUUCUUCCUGUAAUGCCGUUGCUGGCAAAACGGCAGUCCAAG
RNAcentral lists this small RNA (646 nucleotides) under Histoplasma capsulatum var. duboisii H88. RNAcentral describes it as "Histoplasma capsulatum H88 hypothetical RNA". The record is from RNAcentral. Lineage: Eukaryota; Fungi; Ascomycota; Eurotiomycetes; Onygenales; Ajellomycetaceae.